RNAcentral lists this transfer RNA (68 nucleotides) under Diadegma semiclausum. Its description in RNAcentral is "tRNA-Met". The record is from RNAcentral. Lineage: Eukaryota; Metazoa; Arthropoda; Insecta; Hymenoptera; Ichneumonidae.
AUAAAAAUAAGCUAAAUUAAAUAAGCUCUUAGGUUCAUACCCUAAUUAUAGAUUAAUUCUUUUUUAUA